AGCGAACGCUGGCGGCAGGCCUAAUACAUGCAAGUCGAACGGAUCCUUCGGGAUUAGUGGCGGACGGGUGAGUAACACGUGGGAACGUGCCCUUUGGUUCGGAACAACUCAGGGAAACUUGAGCUAAUACCGGAUAAGCCCUUCGGGGAAGGAUUUAUCGCCAUUGGAGCGGCCCGCGUCUGAUUAGCUAGUUGGUGGGGUAAAGGCCUACCAAGGCGACGAUCAGUAGCUGGUCUGAGAGGAUGAUCAGCCACACUGGACUGAGACACGCCCAGACUCCUACGGGAGGCAGCAGUAAGGGAAUCUUGCGCAAGUGGGCGAAAGCCUGACGCAGCCAUGCCGCGUG
This 346-nucleotide ribosomal RNA is filed under the name uncultured bacterium. Its description in RNAcentral is "bacterial SSU rRNA". It matches the Rfam family "Bacterial small subunit ribosomal RNA", at positions 29 to 403 of the family's 1533-position model. The record is from RNAcentral.